CCGUGGACUGGAUGGCGGACAACCCGGAUCUGCGGGAUCUGGCGGCCCGCACUCCCGAUCGCAUCGGGUUGCACCGGC
RNAcentral lists this transfer RNA (78 nucleotides) under Tistrella bauzanensis. RNAcentral describes it as "tRNA-Arg". Lineage: Bacteria; Pseudomonadati; Pseudomonadota; Alphaproteobacteria; Geminicoccales; Geminicoccaceae. The record is from RNAcentral.